AGGGUUCGAUUCUGGCUCAGGAUGAACGCUGGCGGCGUGCCUAACACAUGCAAGUCGAACGAGCGAGAGAUGAAACCUAGUGAUUCUCGAGCGAGUGGCGGACGGGUGAGUAACGCGUGGGUAACCUGCCUUACAGAGGGGGAUAACAGUCUAGAAAAGACUGCUAAUACCGCAUAAGCACACAGUACCGCAUGGUACAGGGUAGAAAAGAUUUAUCACUGUAAGAUCGGACCCGCGUCUGAUUAGCCAGUUGGCAGGGUAACGGCCUACCAAAGCGACGAUCAGUAGCCGACCUGAGAGGGUGAUCGGCCACAUUGGGACUGAGACACGGACCCAAACUCCUACGGGAGGCAGCAGGUGGGGGAUAUUGCACAAUGGAGGAAACUCUGAUGCAGCGACGCCGCGUGAGUGAAGAAGUAUUUCGGUAUGUAAAGCUCUAUCAGCGAGGGAAGAUAAUGACAGUACCCGACCAAGAACGCCCCGGCUAACUACGUGCCAGCAGCCGC
This 506-nucleotide ribosomal RNA is filed under the name uncultured bacterium. Its description in RNAcentral is "bacterial SSU rRNA". It matches the Rfam family "Bacterial small subunit ribosomal RNA", at positions 8 to 518 of the family's 1533-position model. The record is from RNAcentral.